GGGCGUUUAGCUCAGUGGUAGAGCGCCCGCUUCGCAUGCGGGAGGUCCGGGUUUCGAUCACCCGAGUGUCCA
Transfer RNA from Cylindrobasidium torrendii FP15055 ss-10, 72 nucleotides. It matches the Rfam family "tRNA". Rfam says of the family: Transfer RNA (tRNA) molecules are approximately 80 nucleotides in length. Their secondary structure includes four short double-helical elements and three loops (D, anti-codon, and T loops). NCBI's taxonomy places the organism in Eukaryota, Fungi, Basidiomycota, Agaricomycetes, Agaricales, Physalacriaceae. The record is from Rfam.